This 500-nucleotide ribosomal RNA is filed under the name uncultured bacterium. RNAcentral describes it as "partial 16S ribosomal RNA". It matches the Rfam family "Bacterial small subunit ribosomal RNA", at positions 30 to 523 of the family's 1533-position model. The record is from RNAcentral.
AUUGAACGCUGGCGGCAUGCUUUACACAUGCAAGUCGAACGGUAACAGGGUGCUUGCACCGCUGACGAGUGGCGAACGGGUGAGUAAUGCGUCGGAACGUGCCGAUGAGUGGGGGAUAACGCAGCGAAAGUUGUGCUAAUACCGCAUACGUACUGAGGUAGAAAGUGGGGGACCUUCGGGCCUUACGCUAUUCGAGCGGCCGACGUCUGAUUAGCUAGUAGGUGAGGUAAAGGCUCACCUAGGCGACGAUCAGUAGCGGGUCUGAGAGGAUGAUCCGCCACACUGGGACUGAGACACGGCCCAGACUCCUACGGGAGGCAGCAGUGGGGAAUUUUGGACAAUGGGCGAAAGCCUGAUCCAGCCAUGCCGCGUGUCUGAAGAAGGCCUUCGGGUUGUAAAGGACUUUUGUCAGGGAGGAAAUCCCUAGUGCUAAUAACACUGGGGGAUGACAGUACCUGAAGAAUAAGCACCGGCUAACUACGUGCCAGCAGCCGCAGUAA